AGAGUUUGAUCAUGGCUCAGGACGAACGCUGGCGGCGUGCUUAACACAUGCAAGUCGAGCGGUAAGGCUCCUUCGGGAGUACACGAGCGGCGAACGGGUGAGUAACACGUGAGCAAUCUGCCCUUCACAUUGGGAUAACCCCGGGAAACUGGGGCUAAUACCGGAUACCACCACCGAUGGCAUCUUCGGUGGUUGAAAGCUCCGGCGGUGAAGGAUGAGCUCGCGGCCUAUCAGCUUGUUGGUGAGGUAAUGGCUCACCAAGGCGACGACGGGUAGCCGGCCUGAGAGGGUGACCGGCCACACUGGGACUGAGACACGGCCCAGACUCCUACGGGAGGCAGCAGUGGGGAAUAUUGGACAAUGGGCGAAAGCCUGAUCCAGCAACGCCGCGUGAGGGAUGACGGCCUUCGGGUUGUAAACCUCUUUCAGCAGGGACGAAGCGAAAGUGACGGUACCUGCAGAAGAAGCACCGGCCAACUACGUGCCAGCAGCCGCGGUAAUACGUAGGGUGCGAGCGUUGUCCGGAAUUAUUGGGCGUAAAGGGCUCGUAGGCGGUUUGUCACGUCGGAAGUGAAAACUCAGGGCUUAACCCUGUUCGUGCUUCCGAUACGGGCAGACUAGAGGUAGGCAGGGGAGAACGGAAUUCCUGGUGUAGCGGUGGAAUGCGCAGAUAUCAGGAGGAACACCGGUGGCGAAGGCGGUUCUCUGGGCCUAUUCUGACGCUGAGGAGCGAAAGCAUGGGGAGCGAACAGGAUUAGAUACCCUGGUAGUCCAUGCCGUAAACGUUGGGCGCUAGGUGUGGGGCUCAUUUCCACGAGUUCCGUGCCGCAGCUAACGCAUUAAGCG
This 846-nucleotide ribosomal RNA is filed under the name Nocardioides sp. RNAcentral's name for it is "bacterial SSU rRNA". It matches the Rfam family "Bacterial small subunit ribosomal RNA", at positions 8 to 866 of the family's 1533-position model. The record is from RNAcentral. Lineage: Bacteria; Bacillati; Actinomycetota; Actinomycetes; Propionibacteriales; Nocardioidaceae.